UACGUAGGUGACAAGCGUUGUCCGGAUUUACUGGGCGUAAAGAGCGCGCAGGCGGUCGGUCAAGUCGAGUGUGAAAGCCCCCGGCUCAACUGGGGAGGGUCAUUCGAAACUGGUCGACUCGAAGGCAGGAGAGGGUAGUGGAAUUCCCGGUGUAGUGGUGAAAUGCGUAGAUAUCGGGAGGAACACCAGUGGCGAAGGCGACUACCUGGCCUGUUCUUGACGCUGAGGCGCGAAAGCUAGGGGAGCAAACGGG
Molecule: ribosomal RNA, 253 nt
Filed under: uncultured bacterium
Lineage: Bacteria
Description: partial 16S ribosomal RNA
Rfam family: Bacterial small subunit ribosomal RNA
Source: RNAcentral